UACGGAGGGGGCUAGCGUUGUUCGGAAUUACUGGGCGUAAAGCGCGCGUAGGCGGCUUUGUAAGUUAGAGGUGAAAGCCCGGAGCUCAACUCCGGAAUUGCCUUUAAGACUGCAUCGCUAGAAUCAUGGAGAGGUGAGUGGAAUUCCGAGUGUAGAGGUGAAAUUCGUAGAUAUUCGCAAGAACACCAGUGGCGAAGGCGGCUCACUGGCCCGGUACUGACGCUGAGGUGCGAAAGCGUGGGGAGCAAACAGG
Molecule: ribosomal RNA, 253 nt
Filed under: uncultured bacterium
Lineage: Bacteria
Description: partial 16S ribosomal RNA
Rfam family: Bacterial small subunit ribosomal RNA
Source: RNAcentral